RNAcentral lists this ribosomal RNA (623 nucleotides) under Panicum sp. MILL. RNAcentral describes it as "eukaryotic LSU rRNA". The record is from RNAcentral. Lineage: Eukaryota; Viridiplantae; Streptophyta; Magnoliopsida; Poales; Poaceae.
CCCUUAAACAAAACAGACCGUGAACGUGUCAUCCAUGUCGUCGAGGCUACGGCCCGACCAAGAGCCCCCCACCUUCGUUUCGUUGGAGAGGAGAGCCGCCAAAGAACCCACGGCGCCAAAGGCGUCAAGGAACACUGAUAUUGCCUUGCUCGGGGUCAUGCUCGGCCUGCCGCGCUUGCCCCGUGCAAUGUUGCUAUCUUAAUCCACACGACUCUCGGCAACGGAUAUCUCGGCUCUCGCAUCGAUGAAGAACGUAGCAAAAUGCGAUACCUGGUGUGAAUUGCAGAAUCCCGCGAACCAUCGAGUUUUUGAACGCAAGUUGCGCCCAAGGCCUUCUGGUUGAGGGCACGCCUGCCUGGGCGUCACGCCAAAAGACACUCCCAACCCAUCCUUGGGUACGGACGUGGUGUUUGGCUCCCCACGCCUCGUGGCGUGGUGGGCUGAAGUUGGGGCUGCYGGCAUACCGUGUCGGGCACCUGCAUGUGGUGGGCGACAUAAGUUGUUCUCGGUGCAGUGUGCAGGCACGCAGCUAGCUCCUUGGCCUAAAGGACCCAUUUACGACCGUAGCGCCUUGGUGCUCGGACCGCGACCCCAGGUCAGGCGGGACUACCCGCUGAGUUUAA